UACGUAGGGGGCAAGCGUUGUCCGGAUUUAUUGGGCGUAAAGGGCGUGUAGGCGGUCUGUUUAGUCUGGGGUGAAAGCUCCCGGCUCAACUGGGAGAGGUCCUUGGAUACUGGCAGACUUGAGGGAGGUAGAGGAGAGUGGAAUUCCCGGUGUAGUGGUGAUAUGCGUAGAUAUCGGGAGGAACACCAGUGGCGAAGGCGGCUCUCUGGGCAUUACCUGACGCUGAGACGCGAAAGCGUGGGGAGCGAACAGG
Molecule: ribosomal RNA, 253 nt
Filed under: uncultured bacterium
Lineage: Bacteria
Description: partial 16S ribosomal RNA
Rfam family: Bacterial small subunit ribosomal RNA
Source: RNAcentral